This 275-nucleotide ribosomal RNA is filed under the name uncultured bacterium. Its description in RNAcentral is "partial 16S ribosomal RNA". It matches the Rfam family "Bacterial small subunit ribosomal RNA", at positions 399 to 691 of the family's 1533-position model. The record is from RNAcentral.
GCGUGAGUGAUGAAGGCCUUAGGGUCGUAAAGCUCUUUCAACGGUGAAGAUAAUGACGGUAACCGUAGAAGAAGCCCCGGCUAACUUCGUGCCAGCAGCCGCGGUAAUACGAAGGGGGCUAGCGUUGUUCGGAAUUACUGGGCGUAAAGCGCACGUAGGCGGACUUUUAAGUCAGGGGUGAAAUCCCGGGGCUCAACCCCGGAACUGCCUUUGAUACUGGAAGUCUGGAGUAUGGAAGAGGUAAGUGGAAUUCCGAGUGUAGAGGUGAAAUUCGU